ACCCCCAGUGCUGGAUAUGCCAUUGGGAAGGUGCCUUCUUCAUCCUACCCGGGUUCUGAAACCCCACUUGGAGCCGUCCCUUUGCAUGGACACCCUUUUCAGCGUUUGGGCUCAUGACCCCAUCCUGGGAUGCCCCUUCCAUGUGGAAGCCAUUUUUGCUGGCUCAGAGUCAACUUCCACCCUAGGCUGCUCACACAUGCAGCGUCCUCUCCACCCACUGGGCCCCACUGCUCAGGCUGAACAUGCCCCUGCACUGACAUCCUCCUCUGCAUCCUUGUGCUCUGACCCCUUGCUCAGGUUUCAACACCCACUGCCAUGUCAUCACUCACAGCCCAUCCCAUGCGGACAUCCUCUUGACCCUGCUUGUUCUUCAGCACCUCGCACCUCACCCCUCACACCUCCUAACUGCCGUCCCUCCUCACCCUCCGCUUGCCAGGCAGCCAUCUUCCAUGAAUGUGCUCAUCUUUGGACUCCCAAGUGCUACUGUGCUACUCUAGGUCACUAGCUGUCUUCACUCUGGGACAAACACCCACUUCUAUUUCAUCUAAUGGCUUCAGGCUUAUGUUGGUUACCAAGAAAGGUCAUGAUCCCGGUGAUGUCAAUGAGAAGACACUUGAGCCAGCGGCGGGAAGACAAACAGGUUGGGACAAACAUAAAUGAAGCAUGAGAGAAAUUAUUUCAGCAACUGGAAGGACAUGGAAUGCUAGAAUGGCAAAUAGUUUUCUUUUUA
Manis pentadactyla (Chinese pangolin) is the source of this 730-nucleotide long non-coding RNA. RefSeq lists it as uncharacterized. Lineage: Eukaryota; Metazoa; Chordata; Mammalia; Pholidota; Manidae. The transcript has 3 exons. The record is from RefSeq and is a predicted model, not a curated record.